CCGUUCUCAGAUCAGCCGUGCGGGCAACAAGCUGGGUUUUUACAGCGUUGGCCCUUUGGCGGAAAUGAGUCACACCGGCCAGAAUAGAAGACCAUGUCAAGACGAUCAAGUCAACGGGCCCAAAUGAGCGCGCCACGCACGCACACACGCACGCACGCUUUGCCUUUUCCACCUCACAAGAAGCUUUGCUCAUCUUUGCGGGUGACGCACGCCCAUUUCGCGUCCACGGAACGAAUACAAGAAAAUCAAGGUUCUUUCAGGGUUUGAGCGUAUCAACUCAGGCCGUUGUUUUGUUUCGACAAGUUUUCCCCUUUUUACAGCAUCAAAAUGAAUUUGAAAAAAAAAAAAGACAUCAAAAUAUCCUUCUCAAUUGAUGUUGUUAAAGGUGUAAAAACAUUUGACAUUUUUUGAUUUGAAAAAAAAAAAAAAGGUGCCGCCAUUGCAAUUGAAUGGAAAAAAUCCCACAACAACCCUAAGCCUUCAAUGAGGAAAACGCUGCUUGGCUUGAGCUCGUUUAUUUGUCAAAAGGGAAUAAAAAUCGGAUGGACGGCCUACAUAAACACAACCAACGUUUGUUUGGGCAAAUGUACAAAUUGACACUUGGUUGGGGGGGGGGGGUGCUCUUUUCAAGCUGCCGACCGCCGGCGGAUGACGAAGGCUCCCCUCUGCAGCUGUCCAAGGUAGAUCCUCAUCUUUGUGCUGUCG
Molecule: long non-coding RNA, 705 nt
Organism: Syngnathus typhle (broad-nosed pipefish)
Lineage: Eukaryota; Metazoa; Chordata; Actinopteri; Syngnathiformes; Syngnathidae
Exons: 2
Source: RefSeq, a predicted model, not a curated record